GAGAGAUCAGUCGUACUCCAUCAUGCUCUCCUUAUUAUAAUGCUCGAGAAUGCGUAGACAAUGAAAUCGUUGCUAAAGAUGCUCAGACCUCAUAAAGCAAGAACGUGGGAUAUGUUCUCGUAUUCCCGCAGAUGGUGCUAAUCUGAUGCUACCAAAAUCCGAUCUAACUAGGGUAGGCUGGAGAGCAUUGAUCAAUUUGCUCAACUCAUCUAUAUGGUGGAAGAUGGAUCACUAAUAUUCCUUGGAGAGGUAUGGAUCUGUGCACAUAAUAAAGAAGAGAAAAUCUCAUUGGAUUUGCUCCUGCUAACCUCGGUCUCGAUAUUUCAUGAACUGCCAACCUGCG
Molecule: long non-coding RNA, 343 nt
Filed under: Elaeis guineensis (African oil palm)
Lineage: Eukaryota; Viridiplantae; Streptophyta; Magnoliopsida; Arecales; Arecaceae
Description: long non-coding RNA (EGUI_LNC029693)
Source: RNAcentral